GAACUUUCCAGAGAUGGACUGGUGCCUUCGGGAACUGUGAGACAGGUGCUGCAUGGCUGUCGUCAGCUCGUGUUGUGAAAUGUUGGGUUAAGUCCCGCAACGAGCGCAACCCUUAUCCUUUGUUGCCAGCGAUUAGGUCGGGAACUCAAAGGAGACUGCCAGUGAUAAACUGGAGGAAGGUGGGGAUGACGUCAAGUCAUCAUGGCCCUUACGACCAGGGCUACACACGUGCUACAAUGGCGCAUACAAAGAGAAGCGACCUCGCGAGAGCAAGCGGACCUCAUAAAGUGCGUCGUAGUCCGGAUUGGAGUCUGCAACUCGACUCCAUGAAGUCGGAAUCGCUAGUAAUCGUGGAUCAGAAUGCCACGGUGAAUACGUUCCCGGGCCUUGUACACACCGCCCGUCACACCAUGGGAGUGGGUUGCAAAAGAAGUAGGUAGCUUAACCUUCGGGAGGGCGCUUACCACUUUGUGAUUCAUGACUGGGGUGAAGUCGUAACAAGGUAACCGUAGGGGAACCUGCGGUUGGA
RNAcentral lists this ribosomal RNA (529 nucleotides) under Salmonella enterica. RNAcentral's name for it is "bacterial SSU rRNA". It matches the Rfam family "Bacterial small subunit ribosomal RNA", at positions 993 to 1522 of the family's 1533-position model. RNAcentral also lists the same sequence under 2 other names. Lineage: Bacteria; Pseudomonadati; Pseudomonadota; Gammaproteobacteria; Enterobacterales; Enterobacteriaceae. The record is from RNAcentral.